Molecule: ribosomal RNA, 402 nt
Filed under: Verrucomicrobiota bacterium
Lineage: Bacteria; Pseudomonadati; Verrucomicrobiota
Description: Verrucomicrobia bacterium partial 16S ribosomal RNA
Rfam family: Bacterial small subunit ribosomal RNA
Source: RNAcentral
UGGGGAAUUUUGCACAAUGGGGGAAACCCUGAUGCAGCGACGCCGCGUGAUUUAGAAGGCCUUCGGGUUGUAAAAAUCUUUUUUAUGGGAUGAAAAUGACAGUACCAUAAGAAUAAGGUCCGGCUAAAUACGUGCCAGCAGCCGCGGUAAUACGUAUGGACCGAGCGUUGUCCGGAAUCAUUGGGCGUAAAGGGUACGUAGGCGGCCCAGUAAGUUAGAAGUGAAAUAAUAUAGCUCAACUAUAUAAAGCUUUUAAAACUGCUAGGCUUGAGAGAUGGAAGGGAGAGUGGAAUUCCUAGUGUAGCGGUGAAAUGCGCAGAUAUUAGGAAGAAUACCGGUGGCGAAGGCGACUUUCUGGUCAUCAUCUGACGCUGAGGUACGAAAGCGUGGGUAGCAAACAGG